UUAAUGUCCAGGAGAGUGGCCCUCCGCAUGGAGGGUUGACUAGAGAUUUAUCGGUAUGGGAUGAGCUUGCGUCCGAUUAGCUAGUUGGCGGGGCAACGGCCCACCAGGGCGACGAUCGGUAGCCGGCCUGAGAGGGUGAUCGGCCACAUUGGGACUGAGAUACGGCCCAGACUCCUACGGGAGGCAGCAGUAGGGAAUAUUGCACAAUGGGGGAAACCCUGAUGCAGCAACGCCACGUGUGGGAAGAAGCAUUUCGGUGUGUAAACCACUGUCAUGAGGGAAUAAGGCCCGCCUCCGGGCGGGAUUGAAUGUACCUUGAGAGGAAGCACCGGCAAACUUCGUGCCAGCAGCCGCGGUAAUACGAGGGGUGCAAGCGUUGUUCGGAAUUACUGGGCGUAAAGGGAGCGUAGGCGGAGAUUCAAGCGGAUUGUACAAUCCCGGGGCCCAACCCCGGCUCUGCAGUCCGAACUGGAUCUCUUGGAUAGUUCAGGGGCAGGCGGAAUUCCUGGUGUAGCGGUGGAAUGCGUAGAGAUCAGGAAGAACACCGAUGGCGAAGGCAGCCUGCUGGGGACUUAUCGACGCUGAGGCUCGAAAGUGCGGGUAGCAAACAGGAUUAGAUACCCUGGUAGUCCGCACCGUAAACAAUGCAUACUGGGUGUCCGGGGGUUCCCCCGGGUACCGUAGCCAACGCGUUAAGUAUGCCGCCUGGGGAGUACGUACGCAAGUAUGAAACUCAAAGGAAUUGACGGGGGCCCGCACAAGCGGUGGAGCAUGNGGNUUAAUUCGAAGCAACGCGCAGAACCUUACCAGGGUUUGACAUGGAAUCGCCGCAGCGAGAGAU
Molecule: ribosomal RNA, 841 nt
Filed under: uncultured Fibrobacter sp.
Lineage: Bacteria; Pseudomonadati; Fibrobacterota; Fibrobacteria; Fibrobacterales; Fibrobacteraceae
Description: bacterial SSU rRNA
Rfam family: Bacterial small subunit ribosomal RNA
Source: RNAcentral